UGGGGAAUAUUGGACAAUGGGCGAAAGCCUGAUCCAGCCAUGCCGCGUGUGUGAAGAAGGUCUUCGGAUUGUAAAGCACUUUAAGUUGGGAGGAAGGGCAGUAAGCGAAUACCUUGCUGUUUUGACGUUACCGACAGAAUAAGCACCGGCUAACUCUGUGCCAGCAGCCGCGGUAAUACUGAGGGUGCAAGCGUUAAUCGGAAUUACUGGGCGUAAAGCGCGCGUAGGUGGUUCGUUAAGUUGAAUGUGAAAGCCCCGGGCUCAACCUGGGAACUGCAUCCAAAACUGGCGAGCUAGAGUAGGGCAGAGGGGGGUGGAAUUUCCUGUGUAGCGGUGAAAUGCGUAGAUAUAGGAAGGAACACCAGUGGCGAAGGCGACCACCUGGGCUCAUACUGACACUGAGGUGCGAAAGCGUGGGGAGCAAACAGG
RNAcentral lists this ribosomal RNA (429 nucleotides) under Pseudomonadota bacterium. Its description in RNAcentral is "Proteobacteria bacterium partial 16S ribosomal RNA". It matches the Rfam family "Bacterial small subunit ribosomal RNA", at positions 355 to 776 of the family's 1533-position model. Lineage: Bacteria; Pseudomonadati; Pseudomonadota. The record is from RNAcentral.